This 2430-nucleotide small RNA is filed under the name Pan troglodytes (chimpanzee). RNAcentral's name for it is "retained intron". Lineage: Eukaryota; Metazoa; Chordata; Mammalia; Primates; Hominidae. The record is from RNAcentral.
UAACAGGGCACCCUCGACCCCAGGUACGGUGGACCAAGACGGCAGGUAGCGCCUCGGACAAGUUCCAGGAGACAUCGGUGUUCAACGAGACGCUGCGCAUCGAGCGUAUUGCACGCACGCAGGGCGGCCGCUACUACUGCAAGGCUGAGAACGGCGUGGGGGUGCCGGCCAUCAAGUCCAUCCGCGUGGACGUGCAGUACCUGGAUGAGCCAAUGCUGACGGUGCACCAGACGGUGAGCGAUGUGCGAGGCAACUUCUACCAGGAGAAGACGGUGUUCCUGCGCUGUACUGUCAACUCCAACCCGCCUGCCCGCUUCAUCUGGAAGCGGGGUUCCGAUACCCUAUCCCACAGCCAGGACAAUGGGGUUGACAUCUAUGAGCCCCUCUACACUCAGGUCAGGAUGGGCAGCUGGCUCGCCCCAUACCACUUCUCCUGCAUCCAACAGGGGAGGGGGGCAUGGGGCUGAGUUUUUGGGACUGCCUUGACUUCAACAAUUCUAUUCUUACUUUGGAAACACACAUUCUGAUUGGAGUUCAGACAGCCUGGGGCAGAAAAAUCAGAUGGAAAGGCCAGGGAGCAGCAAUGAGGGCAGGAGUGUCCCCGAGGCAACAUGUCCUCCAGGAACAUUGCUAGUUAGGAAAAGGCACCCCUAGGGGCAGACAGGUCAUCCCAGUCUGCUGCUGGGUGGCAGAGUAUUGGAAACCUGUGGCCAGGCACAGCAGGAUCUGGGGGCGAGGAGAUGACUCCUCUUCCCAUGGGCCCUGAUAGUCCCAGGAGAUGGUGGUGAUGCCAUUCUGCCAAGGAGGGCUUUCAGCGGUGGCUGCAGGCCAGCCCCAUGUUUGUAUGGGUUGUACGAGUAAGUUCCCUUCUUACCCCUCCAUUUCCCAGACUGGAGAAACCAAGGCCUGGUACUUGCCAGUGUGCACAAGGGCAACCUCAGACCCAGAGAAUCCCAUGAUGAGGCACUGCCAAGGCUAUGGAGAGUGUAGCAUCCACCCCAGGCUCAGGACCCCUGGGGCUAAAUGGUGAGGGUGGGGUUGGGGAUGGGAAGAGGGGAAUUAGACAGGCAUUUGUGGUAGGCUCUGGUGCUGGGUGAAUGAGUAUGCGGGAUCCCUGGAGACUCAAGCAGGCACCUUACCCCAGUGGUCCACUGCUGCCCAGGGGGAGACCAAGGUCCUGAAGCUGAAGAACCUGCGGCCCCAGGACUAUGCCAGCUACACCUGCCAGGUGUCUGUGCGUAACGUGUGCGGCAUCCCAGACAAGGCCAUCACCUUCCGGCUCACCAACACCACGGCACCACCAGCCCUGAAGCUGUCUGUGAACGAAACUCUGGUGGUGAACCCUGGGGAGAAUGUGACGGUGCAGUGUCUGCUGACAGGCGGUGAUCCCCUCCCCCAGCUGCAGUGGUCCCAUGGGCCUGGCCCACUGCCCCUGGGUGCUCUGGCCCAGGGUGGCACCCUCAGCAUCCCUUCAGUGCAGGCCCGGGACUCUGGCUACUACAACUGCACAGCCACCAACAAUGUGGGCAACCCUGCCAAGAAGACUGUCAACCUGCUGGUGCGAUCCAUGAAGAACGCUACAUUCCAGAUCACUCCUGACGUGAUCAAAGAGAGUGAGAACAUCCAGCUGGGCCAGGACCUGAAGCUAUCGUGCCACGUGGAUGCAGUGCCCCAGGAGAAGGUGACCUACCAGUGGUUCAAGAAUGGCAAGCCGGCACGCAUGUCCAAGCGGCUGCUGGUGACCCGCAAUGAUCCUGAGCUGCCCGCAGUCACCAGCAGCCUAGAGCUCAUUGACCUGCACUUCAGUGACUAUGGCACCUACCUGUGCAUGGCUUCUUUCCCAGGGGCACCCGUGCCUGACCUCAGCGUCGAGGUCAACAUCUCCUCUGAGACAGUGCCGCCCACCAUCAGUGUGCCCAAGGGUAGGGCCGUGGUGACCGUGCGCGAGGGAUCGCCUGCCGAGCUGCAAUGCGAGGUGCGGGGCAAGCCGCGGCCGCCAGUGCUCUGGUCCCGCGUGGACAAGGAGGCUGCACUGCUGCCCUCGGGGCUGCCCCUGGAGGAGACUCCGGACGGGAAGCUGCGGCUGGAGCGAGUGAGCCGAGACAUGAGCGGGACCUACCGCUGCCAGACGGCCCGCUAUAAUGGCUUCAACGUGCGCCCCCGUGAGGCCCAGGUGCAGCUGAACGUGCAGUGUGAGUCCACCAUGCCACCCGGACUACCUUCCCAGCUUUCCUUCUGGCUCCCAGCCGGCCUGUCCCCUCUUCAUCCUCUCACCCACCCCAGUCCAACCAAACCCCACCAGCUACUCCUGAUACCCCUAAUGCUCCUUGACACCCCCAUGCUGUAGGACACGGAGGUCUGUGUUCUUUGCUCCAUUUCAUCAAGUAUCUCCCAUCUUCAUUUUCAGGGACCCGGUGAACAAAAAAAAAA